This 779-nucleotide non-coding RNA is filed under the name Curculionoidea sp. 6 KM-2017. The record is from RNAcentral. Lineage: Eukaryota; Metazoa; Arthropoda; Insecta; Coleoptera.
UUAAGUAGUUUUUAGCUAUAAUUUUUAUACUUAAUUUAAUUAUAUAUAAGAUUUAAUUUUAAUAAAAAUAAUUUUUAAAUAGAAUUAUUAAUUUUAUUUAAUAGGUAGUAGUAAUUAAUUCUAUAAAUUUAAGAAAUUAAGAUAUGGAGAUUUAAAUUAGUAUAGACAAAUUUUGUGCCAGCAGUUGCGGUUAAACAAAUUAUGCAUUAAAAAUUAUAAUUGUUUUCAAUUUAUGUGUUAAAAUUAAAUUAGUAAAAAAAUUUAUUAGGUGAAAUUAUAAGUUUUUAAAGUUGAUUUGAAAAAUCAUUAUUUAUUAAGAUUUUAAAAAAACUAGGAUUAGAUACCCUAUUAUAGAAAAGUAAGGAAUUAACUUGAUUAGUAAUUGUUAGAUUCAUGAAAAUUAAAAAAGGUGGCGGUAUUUUAGUCUUUUCAGAGGAGCCUGUUCUUUAAUCGAUAAUCCACGAUUUAGUGUACUUAUUUUUUUAGUUUGCAUAUCGUUGUAGAUUGAAUAUCUUUAAAAAGUUUGAAUAUUCAAAAUUUUUAUUUAAAAGAAGACAGAUCAAGAUGUAGUUUAUAAAUAAGGAGAAAUGGGCUACAAUAAAUUUAUUUAAGUAGAUAAGGUUUUUAAAAAAUUUUUGAAAGUGGAUUUGAUAGUAAUUUAAUUAAAAAUUUUUUAAAUGAUUUUAGCUCUAGAAUAUGUACAUAUCGCCCGUCGCUUUCAUUUAAUGUGAAAUAAGUCGUAACAUAGUAGGUGUACUGGAAAGUGUCCCUAGAAUACA